RNAcentral lists this ribosomal RNA (426 nucleotides) under uncultured cyanobacterium. RNAcentral's name for it is "bacterial SSU rRNA". It matches the Rfam family "Bacterial small subunit ribosomal RNA", at positions 357 to 796 of the family's 1533-position model. The record is from RNAcentral. Lineage: Bacteria; Bacillati; Cyanobacteriota.
GGGAAUUUUCCGCAAUGGGCGAAAGCUUGAUGGAGCAAUCCCGCGUGCAGGAUGACACCUUUCGGGGCGUAAACUGCUUUUCUGAGGGAAGAAAUUCUGACGGUACCUCAGGAAUAAAGGGCGGCUAAUUACGUGCCAGCAGCCGCGGUAAUACGUAAGCCCUAAGCGUUAUCCGGAAUUAUUGGGCGUAAAGCGUUCGAGGGCGGAUCAGUCAGUCCGACGUUAAAUACCUACGGCUCAACCGAGGUUUCGUGUCGGAAACUGCUGGACUAGAGUAGUGCAGAGGCAGGUAGAAUUCCCAUUGUAGGGGUAAAAUCCGUAGAUAAUGGGAGGAAUACCAAAAGCGAAGGCAGCCUGCUGGGCACUUACUGACGCUGUGCGAACGAAAGCGUGGGGAGCAAAAGGGAUUAGAUACCCCUGUAGUCA